Molecule: long non-coding RNA, 5134 nt
Organism: Mus musculus (house mouse)
Lineage: Eukaryota; Metazoa; Chordata; Mammalia; Rodentia; Muridae
Product: predicted gene, 32771
Exons: 3
Source: RefSeq, a predicted model, not a curated record
GGACCUAAACCUAGGCCCUCUGCAAGAACAAGUCCCCUUAACCACUGAGCCAUCUCUCCAACUCCACAGAAUAUAGUAGAAUUCUAAGAUUGGAGGAAGCCUUAAGUAUUAGUGUGAAGGUCCCCAAAUGCCAACUCAAUGCUUUGGUUUGUUUUUAUCCUGUUUAAAAUAAGUUCCCAGAGUUCUGCUUCCCCAAAGAGGGCAAUGACUGCAUGCUCAUCCAUCAGCAAUAAUCAACAGGAGACAAAGAUGUCACUCUUAGGUAAGUCAUAUCUUCUUUGGAUGCCCAUCACUGUUGUCCCAACUGCCUUCUUUAUUUAUCUCACCACUCCAACUAGUACGUACUUGCAUUUCAAAGCCAGAACCUAUUCUUCCUUUGGUGUUUUAUGCUUAUAGGAUCUGAGGCCCAGCACCAUUUUGCACUCUGCCCAAUGUUACAUACACAGUCCAUUUAUGUUCAUACCAGAUUUUAGACUCUUAUGUCUAAGUUCUAGUUGUAUACUACCAUAGGAACACUAGUCUGAAGACUGGCCCAGGUUAAUUAUUUUAAGUAAAAUAUGACAUGUUUUAUAAACUGUGGUUGUGGUUACUUAUUCAUGAGAAAGAAGUGAGAGGGCUAAACAUUUUUUUAAGGAUAAAUAAUGCAUAUUUCCUAUUUAAAAAUACCUGAAAGCAAGAUUUCUCAGCAGGUCCCAAUACAGACCUGUGUGAAGGGCCACAGAACCUUAAAGCUAGGGUUGUAGACAAGCUCAGAUCACACAAGCAGAUACUAGUGUAAUGCUAUGACAAGUUCAAUAAUAAAAACAACAACCACUGUCAUAAGUCCAGCAUUCACUCAUUUAAAGGAACAGUGUCAUCUGUGAAUUUUCACCUGCGACCCAAUGCACUAGGCUCUAUUGCGUAUUUCCCCACUUCAUAUGCAUAAAUGCCAAAGCUUGGCUCAAUUUACCCCCAAAUCACACAAGUAAUGAGCAUCAGAGAGGAAACGGAGACUCAAGAGAAUCUGACCACAAAGCUAUUAACACUUGCCACAUUGCCAGCUCUCCGGGAGGCAGAGGUGACUUUCCUGCUCAUACGGAAAAGCCCCUGCAACCCUUCUGCUGCCCGAGUUACCCACAACCUCACCACCAGCAGGCAUCUCCAUCACCACCUAUCAGCCGGAACACAAAUCCUUCUGAUCACAGGUCAUUAGAGUCACCUGAUGCAGUAGAAUGCAUUCAGGAACAAUUGAAAUUCAAUGCACCUGCCAGCAAUCACCACCCGCCUGGAGCUGCCCUACUGGGGUGAAGUGACAGCAGGCCAGUCACUUUUGUGUCCCCGUGAAGCUAGUGAUUGUACCUGCUACACAGUAGGAUCUUCAAACUCAUUUACUGCACUGAAAAUAUCUAGCUUGCUUGCUUGCUUUCUCUUUCCUUCUUUCUUUCUUUCUUUCUUUCUUUCUUUCUCUCUCUCUCUUUCUCUCUUUCUUUCUUUUCGUUUCUCUCUCUCUCUCUCUCUCUCUCUCUCUUUCUCUCUCUCUCUCUCUCUCUCUCUUUUUUUUUACUGCUUGCAACUACACAAUAAAUAGUACACAAAAAACUUAUCUGUUUUUUUUUUUUUUUUUUUUUUUUUUGGUUUUGGUUUUUUUUUUCCUCCCUUGGUCCCUAACAAACACUGGUUUAAAAGCAAGGAAAUGAUUCGUUUACCCUUCACAGAAGAGAGUCAAACUAAGAACCCAGGAAGCCAAAUGUGAAGCAAGGGUGGGAAAGGGGGCUAAAGAUAAAGUGGGUGUCAGAUAGGGUUAGCUGUGUCUCUUUUAAGUGCUGACAAUCUUUUUUCGGAGAACUUUGAAUAUCUCUUUUCAUUUGUGGUAUGGGUGUGUGGGUGGGUGGGUGGGUGGGGGUGGGGGUGGUGGGUAGGUCAUUUUCUGGUGACUUACCACUUUCCAGUACUCUACCCCACUGAUUUAUGUGAAAUUGGAGUGAAAGGCUGAAAAUUUGCCCAAGGUACUAUAGCAAAAUGCUUUACUGGGAGUCUGCGGCUAUGGUGGUCAGCAUCAACAAAUAUAUAAGCAAAGUUUGGCCCUUUACAGUCCCAAGGCUCUUCCCCAGACCGUGGUUCACUUCUGACCCUGCAUAUUAGACAUGGACCAGAUAAAAGCACAAGUAAUGAACAAAACGUCAGGCAGUCUUAGCAGCAUCUAGAAUAUGAGAUAUCAGACUAAGACAGAGGCAUCUCCUUCUCACAUGGAUGUCCCUCGUGUACAUGGAUACACCUAGUCCCUGGUGGGAGUGGCUAGGGUCAGUGUUGUGGUUGACAGGCCAGGAUAAACAGGAAAGAGCCAAGUGCUAUUAGCACCAGCUCUGGUCCUAUGACUUUCUCUCCCUUCCUAGGAACCAUUAAGAGCUUCCAAGCACUUGGGUGGCACCGUGACAGUUACUAUUUCAAAGAAGGUACCACUAAUGCAGAGAGUUCUAACUGAAAGCUGGGGGUUGGGGCGAGGUGGGGGGUGACCAGAGGCAUGCUGCAGAAGCCUGAAAGUCCCUCAGGCAGGGGCAGGUCUGUGUGAAGAGGAAGAGUCAGAUUCUCAAGUAGGAGAAUCCAGGAGGAGGACUUCCCAGCUGAGCAUGAGUCAUGGGAGGAAGGGCAGGACACCAUCAGGUUUCUGGCCCAAAUAAGUGGAAGAAUAAAACACACUUUCAGUGAAAGCACUCCACAUCCAAAGGUAAUUCACACAGAUACACAAAUCUGUGUAAUUGGGUUGGCAGUGUAGUUUAGUUGGCAGAACGCUUUCAAAGUAUGCGUGAAGCCCUAGGUUUGGUCCCCAGAAGCACAUAACAGGGUUUGGUGGCCAGGUGUGGGGGUGCACGCCGUUAAUCCUAGCACUUGGGACACGAACACAGGAGUAUUAGAAGUUCAAGACUCUCCCUGCUAGAUUAAAGAGUCUGGAGUAUGUAAGACACUGUCUCAUUCAUAAAUAAAUAAAUUAAUUAAUAAAAAUUCAGACCUAUAGAUUUUAGGAGAAAAGGGAAAUUUUGGGGGAGGGGCAGGGAGCUUCACAGAGCAUCUGCUGGACAUAAACCAAGACAUAUUCAUCAACAUAUAACCAGUUAAGAAAGUGUCCUCACACCCUUGAAGCUGACUGGUCUAGCUUGAGUAGUUGUUCAACACUGUCACAUUUCAUUCUUAUUGCUUACAGUAGAGAACCCAGUGGUUUUAAAGGACAAGAUCUGCCAUGGCAUUUCUCUGAACAAAUAAGACAGCGAAGGUCCUAAUGGAGUACCGUGUGUAGCCUGCCGCACAGCCAGCCACAGUCCUCAGCAUCCCUCUUAGCUUAGAGAAGGUCCGAGGAAGCACCUGGGACCAGAACCAGAGUACCAGAUUGUAAGAGUGGGUGACAGGGAUGGAGUGCCUCAUCCUAGAUUCCUCCUUCUUUCUCUUUCUUUGAAUGAAGGCUGGCUUCAAACUCUAGAUCCUCCUGUCUCAGACCUCUCAAGCAACACUACAAUGACAGGGCUGCACCACCACACCUAACUGGAACCAGCCAUUUCAUGUUCUAGCCAAACAAAGAAGCCAACUGCCUUCAACAAAGACGCAGCAGAAUUGAUCCUAAAGUUGUUCUCUUCACAGAUACACAGAUCUAUGCUCUAGAAUUUGUUGCCAACACCACACAAUGCUAGUGACACCUGGGACUUCCUGUUCCAAUGGCAGGUUGGUAGCAGGUAGGGUUUCUUUCUGUCUGCAGAACAUUCUGUCUGCAGUCAUAGCAUGCCAGAGUCACUGAUUUUCUUACUUAGUGAAAAAUGCUUUCAUUUGGCUUUUUCCUGAGCAUAUGAGGAAGCAGAGAACAUGGGGCAGGUUGCAUGGGAAACAAAGUCCUUAAAAACGUGGUCUUGGAGCUUAUGCACAAACUUUGUGGUUUUGCAUAAAAUCGGAAUGGCCAAAUCUACUCUGCUGAGGUCAGCAAUAUGAGGUAAUGAAGGACAUACAGGACAGAACUACUGGCUCCAUUGUUACUUCUGAAACCUGAACUGCUUUUAGAAAUAAGGGCUGGAAUGUUCCAUAGGAACUCAGAGCAUGGGACAGCGGGGCAUGGCACACACUCAGUGUGGGCUAUUUAAAACCAGGCUCUUGGCUUCCCUCUGUGAUUCUAAAUACGUGAAAUCCCACUGCCCUACAGCAGCCGGGGACUAUUUCUAUGACAUUGCCUGGCACCUGUGCUCAGAGUGGCUGAGUCUACCCAACAGAAAGAAAGUAGAGUACAGGCCAGGUUUCCAGCGUCUAGCCAAUGUCCACCUUGUGUCAGAUCGAGAGAGCACUGGGGGACUGAGAGGUCUUGAAAGUUAAGGAUUCAUUGGACUAUCCCAGUUGCCUUAGCACAUUUUUUUUAAAAAGCGCAUUUUAAACAAGCCAUUUAUAUGACCAAUAAAUAGUGUAAGCAAAACUGAUCGUUUUCUCAGGAUCAGCACAGUCUGUAGAAGGAGCCCAGAUUUAUAGACAUUGCCCCUUUCUGAAUUAUAAAACCUGUUUAAACAUGUUUUUUUCUUUGACAUGUUAACACUUCCUGUAAUCAAACGGAUAAAUAAACCCUUAGGAACUCUGUACUUAAUUGCAAUCAACCAAAAGCCUUAGGCAGGAAAGGACAGUAAGAAACCUUGUUACAUAAUGUCAAAACACCUGAUCAAGUUUGUAACGGCAAUCAAACAGUCAAGCCAGUUGUAGGAUUUCUGACAGACCACAGAAUAUAUUAAGUAACUUUUAGCAUUUUAUCUUGAUGUAGAAAAAUUAAAGCUACAGCCUUUAUAAAAACAUGUAAGACUUUGCCAAGGCCAGUACCCCCACAUCUUGGGCUUGAUCUAAAGCUGCUUGUAGUGAUUCACACCUUUGAUCUCCGCAGUGGGGAGGAAAAGGGGAGAACAUCAGAAGCUGAAGACCAGCAGAGCUCUUGGCAAGGGACCUCCAGCUGAUUCGUGAGCUGUUCCUCGCUCAGGCAGCGCACUGCUGGGGGAAGAGACCUGUGAGGUGCUGCGAGGUGGGAGCGAGCCAACUGCUGGAGGAAGAGAGCCGACUCACUUCACAGAAAACACUGAGCACAGACCAGUCUUCGAAGGCAAGCGAAGUGAUGUAACAGAAAAUAAACAGCUUUCUGCUUUCA